RNAcentral lists this ribosomal RNA (110 nucleotides) under uncultured bacterium. RNAcentral describes it as "partial 16S ribosomal RNA". It matches the Rfam family "Bacterial small subunit ribosomal RNA", at positions 1373 to 1482 of the family's 1533-position model. The record is from RNAcentral.
CCCGGGCCUUGUACACACCGCCCGUCACACCAUGGGAGUGGGUUUUACCAGAAGCCGAUGGGCCAACCGUAAGGAGGCCGUCGACCACGGUAGGAUUCAUGACUGGGGUG